UUUUUUCCACAGGUUUAUCAGAAGCUGGGAUUUCUCUUCUCUCUAAGUUGGCAGAAGCUGGAGCUAACAGCGGGAACUCAUGCUGCUCCCUGGAUUCAAACCUGCAACUUUUUGGUGAGCAAGUUCAGCAGCUCAGAGGUUUAACCCACUGCACCACCGGGUGCUCCGAGUACAUUCACACUCAAUGUUAAAAAAAGCUAAAGGCCUUGUCUCCCAGCCCCAUAGCAGAAUGUCUGUAGUUUUUGAGGAGUGCUGACAUUAUGAAACAUCAUUCACCUUCUGCCUGCUAUCAGCAAGGGCCCUUUCACAGUACAUAUUGAUAGCACUAUAGUUCCACUUUUGCUGCUUUGGUUACAUCCUAUAGCACUGGCUCUCAACUUGUGGGUCGUGGCCCUUUGGGGGUAAAAUGACUCUUUCACAGGGGUCACCUAAGACCAUUGGAAAAUGUCAGGUUUUACAAUGUAUUGUAAUGUAAUAUAGCUGAGUCAUGCACUGCUAAUGGGCUUCUAUUGGAAAUGCUGAGUCAUGCAUUAACUGUAUAUAGGGAAUCAUUUGGGGAAUGUGUUCUGGCCUAGUCCAGGUGAUUGUGAAUGAUGUAAUCCUGGGUCUGAGUUAAGUUAAUGAGUUGGGAACCAAUCAGAGAUUGCUAUGUGUAAUUGUAUAGAAUUGUAUAUAAGGAAGUCAUGUACAGUGUAUAUUUCUCCUUGUGCUGUGAUGUUGUUCGUCGAAGGCUAUAUGUAAUUAAAAGAACCUGUCUGCUAAGACAAGAUAUAA
Anolis sagrei ordinatus is the source of this 774-nucleotide non-coding RNA. Lineage: Eukaryota; Metazoa; Chordata; Lepidosauria; Squamata; Anolidae. The record is from RefSeq and is a predicted model, not a curated record.